This 386-nucleotide unclassified non-coding RNA is filed under the name soil metagenome. RNAcentral describes it as "partial contains 5.8S ribosomal RNA, internal transcribed spacer 2, and large subunit ribosomal RNA". The stretch from base 1 to 120 matches the Rfam family "5.8S ribosomal RNA", at positions 35 to 154 of the family's 154-position model. The record is from RNAcentral.
GAUGAAGAACGUAGCGAAAUGCGAUAAGUAAUGUGAAUUGCAGAAUUCAGUGAAUCAUCGAAUCUUUGAACGCACCUUGCGCUCCUUGGUAUUCCGAGGAGCAUGCCUGUUUGAGUGCCAUGAAAUUCUCAACCUUUUCAGCUUUCUUUGUUGAUCAGGCUUGGAUGUGGGAGUAUGCGGGCUUCUCAGAAGUCGGCUCUCCUGAAAUGCAUUAGCGGGACCUUUGUUGCCUGGCUUUGGUGUGAUAAUUAUCUACGCCAUUGUGGUCAAGCAGCUUAAAAUGAGGUUUCAGCUUCUAACCGUCUCCCCUGAGACAACUUUUUGACAAUUUGACCUCAAAUCAGGUAGGACUACCCGCUGAACUUAAGCAUAUCAAUAACGGAGGA